RNAcentral lists this long non-coding RNA (2644 nucleotides) under Mus musculus (house mouse). RNAcentral's name for it is "predicted gene, 63652". Lineage: Eukaryota; Metazoa; Chordata; Mammalia; Rodentia; Muridae. The record is from RNAcentral.
AAUGCUGUAAACAUUUACAUUUGAGUUAAUGUUAAGCUUAGAGCCACCUCAGCAGAGGCUUGUGUGGCAUUGCUUUUGUCUUUGUAAAGAAUGAGAAAAAGACAAGGUGGCUUUGAUUCCUGAUGUGUACUGGGUUCAAUCUAUUACUAAUAAGAGAUCUAACCUUAAAUUACUAAUUGAUGAUGAUGGUGGUUAGGUUUCCAGCCGGCACCUUAGAAGUAAUGUACAAUUGAUAGUGGAGAGCGCAGAAGUGACCCACUACUUGCCUGGGGCGGGCUGGGCUGGGCUGGGCUGGGCCACAGUACUGGUCGCUCUGAGAUUUCAGUGCAACUCCAGCCAGUGGCCCCACCACCAUGAGCACCAAGCAGGUCACCUGCAGGUAUUUUAUGCAUGGUGUAUGUCUCUAAGGUAGCCAGUGCCUGUUCUCACAUGACUUGGUGAACAGCAAGCCGUCCACCAUCUGCAAAUACUACCAGAAAGGCUACUGCGCCUGUGGUGCACAUUGCAGAUAUGAUCAUACAAAGCCCCCAACUGCAGCAGGUGGAGCUGUGGGUCCUGCACCCAACCCUUCACCCUCCUCAGGCCUGCAUAGUCCUCACCCUCCUCCACAUUGCCACAUCUGUUAUGAGGACACAUUCAAAUGAACCUGGAAAGCAGGAGAAGAAUACGCUGGUGCUCAGAGACCUCAAUCUCACUGGUCUGGCUGAAGACAAGACUCCUCCAAGCACAGUGAAAUAUCCAGGUGGCUGCAGUGACCUUCAGAACAGCCCAGAGAUGACGCCCCAUUCCUACCUAAAUGCCAUCAGGACUGGCCUGGAUGACUUGGAGGCCAGCAGCUCCUGGAGCAAUGAGCUUCAGUUGUGUCCCUAUGCUGCUGCUGGGGAGUGCCAGUUUGGAGAUGCCCAUAUCUACCUGCAUGGGAACAUGUGUGAGAUCUUCAGGCUUCGAUUCCUCCACCCUUGACCCAGAACAAAGGAAAGCUCAUGAGAAGAUGUGUAUGUUGACAUUUGAACAUGAGAUGGACAAGGCGUUUGCCUUCCAGGCGAGCCAGGACAAAGUGUGCAGCAUCUGUAUGGAGGUGAUCCUUGAGAAAGCAUCUGCUUUUGAGAGGAGUUUUGGCGUUCUCUCCAACUGCAGCCGCACCUACUGCCUGUCCUGCAUCCAUCAAUGGCAAUGUGCCAAACAGUUUGAAAACCUGAUCAUAAAGUCUUGUCCAGAGUGCCGUGUGAUAUCAGAGUUUGUAAUUCCAAGUGUGUAUUGGGUAGAAAAUCGGAAUAAAAGGAAUGAAUUAAUUGAAGCUUUCAAACGGGGAAUGAGGGAAAAGGCAUGUAAAUACUUUGAACAAGACAAGGGGACCUGCCCCUUUGGAAGCAAGUGCCUUUACCACCAUGCUUACCCUCAUGGGCGGCUGGCAGAGCCAGAGAAACCUCGGAAGCAGCUAAACUCUGAAGGAACUGUGAGGUUCUUUAACUCAGUGUGGCUUUGGGAUUUUAUCGAGAACCAAGAAACCCGGCAAGUCCCCAGCACUGAUAAUGUGGAUGUGAUAGUGCUAGGAGGCCUUUUCAUGCACCUUUCUGGAGUAGAGUCAUCAGAACCCUAGUCAGUGCUAAUGCCUUCAUUUGGGCUCUGUAGUCAACUUUCCAAGGCAUGGUGCAGACGCAUCUGACACUGACCCGUGGUGACAUGGUACCGGGAUUUGAGUACAGUAGUGAGUCCCCCUGGAAAGAGAAGGGAGAUCACCAAGUCCAUGGAAUCUUGACAUUUAGAGUUGAGCUCUCAGUUGUACCUCCAGUCCCUUUCUCAGGGACCAGCUAUGUGGUCCAGCUGUUUUAAUUGAGUGCUUUAAAUGAAACCUGACUGCCAUCUUUCUUUUGUGACUUUCUUCCUUAAGCAACAGUAAACUUGCAGCUGCUCAUAAAGCAGCAGAUCUGGUUUUUUGUUCUUGUUGUUUUUGUUUUUAUUUUUCUCUUGCCAAGACAUCACCAGCCCUGUAGAAGGCUCCCCUGCAGUGACCAUCUCUAAUAUAGUUGUUGAGCCUUGGAAUUUACGCAACUGUGUAGUAAGAACACAUUUGGUCAUAUUGGUGCUGUACCAUAGUGUAGACUUUUAUGACUGUGAGGGUGGCUAUUGAGUUCCUUCCAGUGUCUCAAGUCAACAGGUGUGUGCAGUUGUGAAGAUCUCCAGAGAGACGCCAUCUUACUCUCCCCUUGUACUGAGAGCACAAGACAUAGGACUCACACACAAACUGCUUGUUCUCCACUAUAAAGUAGGCUCUACACUGGUUUUUGUGGGAGAAUGGAGCAGUCACUCCUCUGUCUAAGAACUGGAGCCAAGAAAGAGCAAGUUUGUCCUAAAUCUGAAUUUAUUUUUGUAAAAAAACUGUUAUUAUCUGUGUGCUUUUUGCUUGGCUGUUCAUGUAAGUGCAGAGGAGGCUCCUUGAGUUCUGUCUGCACAAGAAACUGAACAAGUAGGGCCCGCACUUCGAGUUUGAUAUUACUUUUGAAGGAGUCAGUAGCCAUUAAACCUAAAUUUAAUUUAUUUUAUUAAAAUAACAUAAUUGAGAAACCAUCAGAUAACUGUAUUUUAUCAGGCUCAAUAAAAACAAAGUUAACCCCCCCAAAAAAAUACCAAAACAAAAAAUAAU